CAUAAAAACUCACUUUUCCAAGUUUCUAAUCAAAUCGUUUUACUUUACUCCCCCAACUUUAGAUUCCAAAACCAAAUUAAUUCAAUAAUGCUCCCUACUUAGACAUAAGCAAAAGGCAAAAUUUGCAAACAACUCGGUUUGAGGGUUCGAUUGACACGAAAGAAAUUAGGAUUCAUUUAUUCACAAAAUUUUCAAUUGAUUUUACACUUAUCAAUCAAAUGAAUCCUAAGGUAAGCUCAAAGGGGGUUAACUAAGGAUUACUCCUCACAAGGUUCGUUGAUUCAAAACUUUUAGGUCAAAUGGUUUUUCUCAACAAACAAUGCCUCUAUCAUUU
Molecule: long non-coding RNA, 334 nt
Filed under: Lathyrus oleraceus (garden pea)
Lineage: Eukaryota; Viridiplantae; Streptophyta; Magnoliopsida; Fabales; Fabaceae
Description: Pisum sativum (pea) long non-coding RNA (PSAT_LNC017942)
Source: RNAcentral